GUGUCAGCAGCCGCGGUAAUACGGAGGGUGCAAGCGUUGUCCGGAUUCAUUGGGUUUAAAGGGUGCGCAGGCGGGACAUUAAGUCAGGGGUGAAAGACGGUUGCUCAACAAUCGCAGUGCCUUUGAUACUGGUGUUCUUGGGUGACCUUGAGGUAGGCGGAAUGGGUGGUGUAGCGGUGAAAUGCAUAGAUACCACCCAGAACUCCGAUUGCGAAGGCAGCCUACUGGAGGUUAACCGACGCUCAGGCACGAAAGCGUGGGGAUCAAACAGGAUUAGAUACCCUGGUAGUCCACGCCGUAAACGAUGAUCACUCGCUGUGGGGAGGCUACUUUCCGCGGCUUAGCGAAAGCGUUAAGUGAUCCACCUGGGGAGUACGCUCGCAAGGGUGAA
Molecule: ribosomal RNA, 391 nt
Filed under: uncultured bacterium
Lineage: Bacteria
Description: bacterial SSU rRNA
Rfam family: Bacterial small subunit ribosomal RNA
Source: RNAcentral